Molecule: ribosomal RNA, 775 nt
Filed under: uncultured Neocallimastigales
Lineage: Eukaryota; Fungi; Neocallimastigomycota; Neocallimastigomycetes; Neocallimastigales
Description: partial large subunit ribosomal RNA
Rfam family: Eukaryotic large subunit ribosomal RNA
Source: RNAcentral
AGAGAGAGACAUGCGCGCAUAUCAAUAAGCGGAGGAAAAGAAACUAACAAGGAUUCCCUUAGUAACGGCGAGUGAAGCGGGAAGAGCUCAAAUUUGAAAUCUUCAAGGUUUUACCUUGACGAAUUGUAGUUUAAAGAAGUGUUUUCUGCUGAAGUUUUGGUAAAAGUUCUUUGGAAUAGGACAUCAUAGAGGGUGAGAAUCCCGUAUUUGACCAUUAUUUUCAGCUUUGUGAUACACUUUCAAAGAGUCGGAUUGUUUGGGAAUGCAGUCCAAAAUGGGUGGUAAAUUUCAUCUAAAGCUAAAUAUUGGCGAGAGACCGAUAGCGAACAAGUACCGUGAGGGAAAGAUGAAAAGAACUUUGAAAAGAGAGUUAAACAGUACGUGAAAUUGUCAAAAGGGAAGCGUUUGACACCAGUGUUGUUUUCUCGAAAAUCAAUUAAAAAUGGCUCGAUUUUGUAUUGUUGAGACCUUAAAAGCUCACUGUACAUUUUUCGUGUCUUUUUUAAUGCACUUUUCGUUUAACAAGUCAACAUCAGUUUCUUUUGUUGUAAAAGGGUCAUUGGAAGGUGGCUUUCUUUUCGGAGAAAGUGUUUAUAGCCUUUGGCCUCUGCAAUCGAGAGGACUGAGGUCUGCAGCGUAGACUCUUCGGGGUUAGAUACAUUUGUGCUAAGUUAGUAGCUUUUUAUAGACAACUUGUUGACUAUAAUUAGUCUUGUAGCUUACUCGCUUAUGCUAUUUUACCUACGCUUAGGAUGUUGAAGUCAUCGUAUCGCGC